This 1056-nucleotide ribosomal RNA is filed under the name Triticum aestivum (bread wheat). RNAcentral describes it as "partial small subunit ribosomal RNA". The record is from RNAcentral. Lineage: Eukaryota; Viridiplantae; Streptophyta; Magnoliopsida; Poales; Poaceae.
AUGGGGUGGUCGACCUCGACACCGCAACGCGUGGGCGUUGCCGCCCUAGACGCGGUGAUGGGCACACCGGCGACGCGUAAGAAUCAGAGAACAGCAGCCACUAACGGCGACUCAAGCUCCCGCGCAAGCAGCGGCCGGUUCCAGCGGCUUGAGGUGCUCGGCGCAGGAACAUUCGGCGUCGUCUACCGGGCGAGGGACCGCCGCACGGGUGAGAUCGUGGCGGUGAAGUGCCUCCGUGCGAGCGACGGCGCCGGCGACGCCGAACGCUACCUCUUCGACUUCGCCAGCGAGGUCAGUGCUCUCGAGGCGUACAGCGGCCACCCGUCCAUCGUUCAGCCGCGUGGCUCCGGCCAACUUGACAGCGGGGCUUUCCUCGCCAUGGAGUUUGUGGGGCCGACUCUCAGGCACGUCAUGAAGCAUGUCCGCUUUGGGAGGAGGCACACCGAGCUGGAGGUUCGUCUUCUCAUGAGGCAGCUUCUCGCCGGCGAGAGGAGGAUGAAUCGUCUCGGCCUCAUGCACCGGGACCUGAAGCCGGAGAACGUGCUUGUGGACAGCCACGGGAACCUCAAGAUCUGCGACCUGGGGCUAUCGUGCAGCAUGGCCGACGGGCCGCCCUACUCUAAUCCUAUUGGGACACGGGGAUAUCGCGCGCCAGAAAUCCUCCUCGGGUCCACGGAUUACGACGAGCGUGUCGACUCAUGGGCUCUCGGUGUCAUGAUGGCCGAGCUCCUCGCCGGCCAGCACCCUUUCCAUGGGAGGUCGGACAUGGAUCACCUCAGCGAAAUCUUGGCCCUUCUUGGCAUGGCAGACAUCAAGGAGUGGUCGGGCUACGAUGGGCGGCGGCUACCUAGCGGAUGCCAACCAGGAAGCUUCUUGCGCAACAAGUUCCCAUGUCCCGCUGAGGCCAGGAUAAAAGGACCGCCAACACUGUCGGAGGCUGGUUUCGAGGUCUUGAGCGGUCUUCUACAAUGCAACCCGGAGAAGAGGCUCACGGCGGAGCAAGCGCUCAAGCAUCGGUGGUUCAAGGACGCCAACCCUAGAGCUACCAGGAGUUGA